Mirounga angustirostris (Northern elephant seal) is the source of this 12408-nucleotide long non-coding RNA. RefSeq lists it as uncharacterized. The transcript is spliced from 5 exons. The record is from RefSeq and is a predicted model, not a curated record. Lineage: Eukaryota; Metazoa; Chordata; Mammalia; Carnivora; Phocidae.
CGGCUCGGACGGCAGGGAGGCUCUACCCCAGGGAGCGCAGGACGCGAAGCGCAGGCGGAGAGGCGCUGCGGGCAGAGCGGGGCCCCUCCAAGUGCUCUGAGAGCCAGAGGCAUUUCUUUCAAACCUUGGCUGCAGUCACUGCGUGUCACCUGCGAUCAACACGUCAGAGCUGACAAAGCUGUUUCCGUACGAAUCCUGAAGGAUUCUCUAUUCCCACUCCUGGCUCCCCUAAAUCCUCGGUCUCAGGUAGCCAUCCAUUCUGCUAGCCUCCACUCCAGGACCAGGGAGAAACAAUUGGAAAGAAAGGAGGAGAAAUGAAGGAGUUCAUUUUCUGGAACAUUACGUAGCACCGAUUCACCAGUACAGUUCAAGUCUUUUCAGCUGCCACAGUUAUGAGCAUGAGCCCAGGAUCUGGCGUCACCAGAGCGGACCUUGAACUCUAGUGCUGCAAUUUCCUUUUUCUGUGUCCUCGAACAAGUCAUUGCACCUCCAAUAUGGCUCGUUUUUAUCUAUUAGAUGGGAAAGAGGAACAUUGUUUCCUGAAGAUAGAAUGGGAACUUGCUCAUGCACGUACUUUGUAAGUCAUGAACUGCCUCAAUCCUUUACUUGCUGUUCCCUGCAAGCUUCCCUGUUUCCUCUUCUUUUCAUAUCAUCUCCCCCCCACUUCAAGAUUCCUACUCAUUUUUCUGGAACUCUGUUCAAACAUCACGUCGUCCUGAAAGCCCUCUAGGACUGCCCAGGUUUGGUCAUGGGCCCCUUUUCUGUGAUCUUCCUUCAGCGCGAAGGGAAGGCAUGGCAGUGAAUUUUGGAGUCUCUGAAACUUGGAUUCACAAUCCUACUCUGCCGCUUUCCACAUGUGUGACCUUGAACAAGUUAGUAAAACCGUCUGAGUCCAAUUUUAUGUAUUAAUCUUAUCUUACUUCCAUUUUGGGAGGAUUAGAGAUAGGACAUAGUAGGCACAAAGGACAUAAUAGGGCUCAGUAAAUGUUGGUUAUUAUUACUGAAAUAACUUCCUUGGGUUAAGUUUCCCAUGUAAAACUUCCAAAAUUUCUUGGUUUGCUAAAACAUACUAAGUCCAUGUUUACAUUUGAAAGCUUUUGAAGACAGCUAAUGAAAAACAUAUGUAACAACUUAAAACAAUUCUUGGUCCACACUGAAAUAAUUGCAGAAUAUUUAAUAUUAUCCCAGCUAAAUGUUUAUCAAGCUAACAAAUGAAAAUCAAGGUUAAUUUUAUCAAUUUCCUUUUUUUUUUCCUGAGGAGUGUCUAGAUUCUUCUUAUUGUUUGAUUCUCUCUCCAGAUAACUGUCUAGACUAAUUUGUGGUUACCUUUUAAGAAUCUUCAGCUCAUUGGACUUUCUCCUUUCAUGUCAGAGAUUAGUCUCCUUUAUGUACACAUUAGAUACUCAACGUGCGCAUUACUUCGUCAUUUUUACAAAUAUCGUGCUUGUUUACUCUUCAUAACAAUCAUGUCAAUCUAAUGUUCAUUUUACAGAUGAGGACAUUGAGACUCAGUUGUUUCCUUCGAGAUACCAACACUUGACUGAGUCAUUACUCAAACCCUGGUCUUGACUCCAUAAUUCUGUUCUUUUCCCAAAACAAUGUUUUCUGUUGCUUGUGACCAGGGUUUUAUAAAAUAAGCUGGAAAAUUUCUUAGUGAAAGCAGCUUGCAUACAAACCAUCAUGAGGAAGUGAGAAGGAACUCAAGAGUUUUAAGCGAAUUUGCAUGUAUCUCCUUUGGGCUACUCUCCUCUGCUUUUGCCCACCUUGAAAUGCUGUUGUUCCCAGAGUUUCUUCUGCAGUCCCCCUUCUGCUUUAUCCCCAGGGAUUCAAUUUAAUCUCUUUGUGCACACCUCUCGGGGCUGCCAUGCUCAGCCUGCCCUCCCCACUCCUCCCCGGAGCUAAGAAGCAAACCUGAUCAUGUCACUCCCUGAUUUCCAGCCUUCUGUGUUGCCUCACUGCCUUUAAGAUAAAGCCCAAAGUGCUUUGCCUCAAGUACAAGAGUCCUCACCCUCUGGCCUCUCCCGACCACAAUCUCCAGCCUCGUCUCCAGCUAUUCCCACCACGCCUGUGACUUCAGUCCCUGUACGUGCUGUUACCUGAAAGCGCAUAUUCGCUCACCUCAGGUCUUUGUUCAUGCUGUUCUACCUGACGAGCCCAGCUACCAUCUGCCUUCAGAAGCCCUCUUCAUUCCUUCACCUUCUCCUGAAAGCCUUCCCUGACCUCCCCAAGUUGGGCCAUGCCAUCCGCUAUGAUAGCGCUUCUCCUAUGGUAUUCAGGAUGUUUGCUUGCCUGUCUGUUUCUCCCACAGAGAGUCUCCUUCUCUUUGAAGGAGACUAUUUCACCCCCAUACCACAGGCCCCGCACAGGACUGGCACGUGGCUGGUCAGAGUUUGCUGAAAUUAGGCACAGUCUCGCACUGCUACUUGGUGUUUUUCUAUGUGCUCAUGUCAUCUUUUCAAAAAGACGUUUAAGUUCAUUUGAGGUGAAGAAUCACUUUUUAUAUCUAUUCUCUUCCCCCUUUUGAGAGUUUACCUUAAUUGUUCAUAUUUUUGCCUCAAAAGGAACCAGGUGAGAAACUAGUAUUAACUUUUCUUUUCCACUCUAAGGAAGUUAGUACAUUAAUUUCUAUGAUGCUUGUUUUAAAAGAACUGUUACUGCUUAACUCAAGUUAUGUACACUGUCGUUAAUGUUAUUUGAAUCUCCUUAGGUCAAAUAGUCUUUUAAAAAUUCAACCAUGUAGGUGCAUUUACAUUAUGCAAGUGAUUUAUUAUGGUAACUCAUUAAAUCAAGUAGCUGAUGUGACUUACUAAAUUGAUGAACACAGCGGUUAACAUGUAGCCACUUACACCUUUCUCACGGGCUGUCUAGAAAACAAACUUCCCGUCUUGAUCCCCAUCCAACUCCUUCAUUCUAGUUGAUCACUGAUUUAUUGGUCUUUUCUCUGUGAGCAGUAACCAAAUUUUUAAGUAUUGCAUUUUCUUCCCAUCACUAACUACAAGAUUGACCAAAAGCAACAUCCCUGUUGAACAUUUACUUUUCUUUUACGGUCCACAAGAUCUAGACCCCAUUCACAUGUUCUUUGAUUUUUCCUUUUUAGGUCUUUUUAAAAGAAUUAUGUGACAUUUAAUGAAUGCAAAAAAGCCCUCAAAACAUAAUACAGUGAACACAUGUUUAUCCACCAACCAGCUUAAGAAAUAAGCUAUUUUCAAAACAGUUGAAACCCCCUAUAAUCCUUCUCGAUCCCCUUUUUGUCUCUUUGCGGUCCCAGAGCUAAGUAUUAUCUGAAUUUGGGGCUUAUUGUUGUCUUUCUCCAAAUAUUACUUUUAUGCCAUAUGUAUAUAUCCCUACAAAUUAUUCUGUUUAUUUUGUUUUUUGAACCUUAUAAAAAUGUUAAGACUACAAAUAUUCCUCUGAAGUUUUCCUUUAUUCUACAUUCUGUUUUUAAGAAUCAUUUACAUAUUUGUGUACAGCUGGAGCUCAUUCAUUUCACUGCCAGAGAGAAUUCCACUGUACAAACGUACUUUAUUUCUCUUGCCGAUGAACGUUGGGAUUGUCUCCAGUGUUUCCAGUGCUGGUAUGAUCAUCUGUAUACAUGUCUUCCCAGCCACCUGUACACAGAUUUUCUUGAGUACAUCUCCAGGAAUAGAAUAGCUGGUAAUAGGGUAUUUGCAUGUUCCGUUUUAAUUCAAGUCGCUUUUCUCAUCAGCAGUCGGUCACAUUUUCUGUUCCACAUCCUCAACUACAUUUGUAUUGCCAGCUCUUAAAAGAUUGCUAAUAUGAUGAGUGUUGUGGGCUAAACUGUGUCCUCCCCAAAUUCAUGUGUGAAGUCCUAACCCUCAGUACCUCAGAAUGUGACCGCAUUUGGAGUUAGGGUCUUUAAAGAGGUAGUUAUGGUUCAAUGAGGUCAUUAAGGUGGGCCCUAAUCUGAUAGGACUGGUGUCCUUACAAGAAGAAGAGAUUAGGACACAGGCAUGCACAGGGGAGGACUGUGAAAAGACAUGGGGAGAAGACAGCAAGCCCAGGAGAAAGGCCCUCAGAAAAAAUCAACGCUGCCCACACCUGGAUGUUGGACUUCUAGUCUCCAGAGCCAUGCAGAGAUAAAGCUCUGUCGCUACAUUGUACACCUGAAACUAAUAUUACACUGUAUGUUAACUGAAAUUUAAAUAAAAACAAAAAAUAAGAAGUCUCUGUUGUUUGAGCCAGCUAGUCCGUGGUGCUUUGUUAUGGCAGCCCUAGCAAACCAAUGCAACGAAGUUAAAAAUCAUAGUUUUAAUUUGUAUUUCUCUCAUUUACAAUUGAGGUUGAGCAAUUUUCCAUAUGUUAAUUAGCCAUUUGGAUUUCUUCUAUAAAAUUCUUUUUUUUUAAGAUUUUAUUUGAGAGAGAGAGAGAGAGCAAGCACAAGCAGAAUGGGGCAGCACAGAAGGAAAGGGAAAAGCAGACUCUGCAUUGGAGCAUGGAGCCCAACACGGGGCUCGAUCCCAGGACCCCAAGAUCAUGAUCUGAGCUGAAAGCAGACACUUAAACGAGUCAUCCAGGCUGUUAAUCCACCAAUGGGCAGAAUUUUCAGCCAGUGUUCCCUAAAGGCACAAAUGAGAACUUAGAAAAGAACUAAAGGAGGAAAAACAACUCAUUUUGGUAAGUACCAAUUCUGACCCAAGCCCUUUGCAAAAAAUUCCUUAUCUGACCUUUCAUCAAUCUUGCAAGGUUCCAAUGACCUAGCUUUUAAAGAUAAAUCCUGGCUGAGAGAGUUUAAAUAACUCCUCCUAAAAUUACUUGGUCUGCAACCACAGAGCUAGAAUCUAAAUGCUAUUAUCUGAUACAAAAGCCUAAAAUCUGUUUGUGAUGUUAACACUGUCUUCAGAAAUCACUUGAGGCCCAAACAAAUUGGUGGACCUGCCCCCAAAGCCAAGGCUGCCAACCUUAGUAGCUUUGAAAAGUCAGUGCAGAGCCUCCUCAGAGUUUCUUCAGGACUUUGCCCAGUGUUUUGACAGGCCUACAAGGGAGUCCAGAGCUGGAAUAAGCACACUGGCCUGCAUCUCAGAGUGCUUGGGGCUCCAGGCCUGUCUCUACUGUUUACAAGCUGGCCCCUGGGUAAGCCACUUAACCUCCCCAGAUCUUGUUUUCUCCACAUGAAACAGGACACUCAAUGAUACCAGGGGAUCUUCAAAUUCCUUGGUAGGGCUUCAUUCUCAGAAUCCAAAAAUUCUACGAAGCAGCUACAUAAGGUCCUACAAGGAAGCCCCUCCCGGGCCCCAGCCAAAUCCGGAGAGUGACUUCACAGUUCCCCACCUACUCUGUUAGCUUUUCUUUCAGCCUCACUAAGCUAGAAAUGGACCUCUCAGCUCCUAAAUCAUAUCCAUGGGUUCCUGUAAGGGAGAAUCCUUCCUUGCCUCUUCCUCAUUCUGGUGCUUGGAGUUCCUAGUCUUGCACUGCAGCACUCGAUGUGUGCCUCGUCAUCUUGUGGUGUUCCCCUCUCCUGUAUCCAUGUCUCCCUGUCUCUCCUCCUCUUAUAAGGACACCAAUCCUAUUGGAUAAAGGGCACACCCUACUCCGGUAAGACCUCAUCUCAACUCAUUACAACUACAAAGAUCUUAUUUCCAAAUACAGUCACCUUCUGAGGUACCUGAGGUUAGGUCUUCAACACAGCUUUUGGGGGGGCCACAACUGAAUCCACAAUGGUGGCUGACUUAUACUUUGUCUGAUCCAUCGUCAGCAAUGCCCCCCCCCAACCCAACGUAAUAUAGGGAAGGGGGGGUGGAAUUUCAGAACCUAAACCAGGAAAAAGGUAGGAAUCCUCAUAAAAAUUGAGUCACCCAUCCCCAGCUCAGGACUCAGAGGUCACUUCUCCACCUUUGCUUCUUGAGUGGAGUGAUUUACAAUUGCUUCCUCUCCUGGGGAAAUAUGAAAGUUAGCAGCUCAGCUAGGGCUCUGCCACUUUCCUGAGGCUGCUCCAGAUUGGCGGACAGCCACCAGUGGCUGCUGAAGAGAUAAAAUCCCCUCAUCAUGAAUAAGGAAACUGCCGAAUAAAGCCUUGACUGUCAAGAGAGGAAAUCGGUUGUAAAAGUAUUUUUCCUCCUCCAUAAUGAGAAGGGCAUGUGUGGCCACACAGGGGUCUGUAGACCCAUAUCAGUACUGAGAGGAGCCCUGAGGGUCCACAGUCAGCGCACGGUGAGGGGCCCCAUGAGGAGAAUGGCCUGCCUCGGAGAGGCCUGCUAAGGCCUGAGCAGGGACCCACCCACCUCCCCAUCAACUGUGUCUCACACCUGGGACGCCCAAAUGGUGGGGUAAGAGUCAUAGGAAAUGACAAACACAGAACACUUCUUGUUGACUUCCUCAAGUGAGAGCUCCAAGACAGAUUUGAUUCAACUUAGAAAGGAAAUGUUAGCUAUCUAGCGACAUAAGUAUUGUGGAGAAACCUGUAACAAUUACAAUUAGAACUCAUAUUAUUUAACUUGUAUUAUCUCUGUAAGACAUACUAUGCACAUAAACUCUCUGUCAAGCCAAAAAUGUGAACUUUUAGUGCCUGCCACAGAUUGGGUUCCCAGGGAAGCAGACAUUGAGCUAGCGAUGCGCAUGGAGGAAGGUUAUUGGAAGGUCCUUGUGGGAGAUUCAUCAGUGGGGGUGAAGAGAGGAAAUCAGAGUUGGGUAGGGGGAGCAGAGCUGUUGUGUGGUCCCAACACAGGCCUCAGCAUGGGUCACGCAGAGCUCUGGAACCAGAAGAGCCCUGAAGGGUUGUCCCAAGCGGGGGGGUAAGGGGGCAGGCAAUUAUAGCCCCCCAUCAACCAAUCAUUGGAUGAAAACUCCCCCAGGGGAAGGGCCGUGACCUUGAUCAUGGUGGGUCCCUUUAGCUAAGGCAGUUUCUGGAGAGGAAUUUAUCUGUGACUUGUGGGCCACGAAGGGAAUGAGUGCCUAGGAACUGAAGGGGGGGGGGGGGGUCAGGAUAGCACUCCACAGCCUCCACUGUGACAGUGUUCUCACUCCAGAGUGACAUGGGAUGAUGCUCCAAGCAGGGUCUGGCCACUCAGCACCAGCUGGCAUCCUCUGCUCGUUUAGCAGAAACAUCUAAUUCCAAAGAUUCCCCUGUUUGACAUAAGCCACCAAUCCCUCAUUUAAUCACAAAGGCACUCAUGCCCCGCCCCCAACAGGAGACAAGUGAGCAUCACACUGUGGGGGCUGUUAGGGUGCAUCCAGGUGACAACCAGUGCCCUUCUAGUGACAGGUUCUUGGGUACCUGUGGGCAACAGCACAUUGGUUAAAUAAACUGAGGCCCGUCCACAGGGUAGGUCAUUAAAAUGGAAGUUGUAGAAGACUGUAAGAGAAUAAAACAGCAUGCACUGUAUGAUCCCAUUUCCGGGAAAAGACAAGACAUAUGGCAAGAGUCUAGAAGAAUGGCCAUGAAAACCGAGUAAUGGGAUUAUAGAUUAUUCUAAUCUUUCUCCUUUUACUUAAAUAUAUUUUCUGGAUCAACCCAAUAUGUUACUUUUGUAAUAGGGAAAAAAUUAGUUUUUCUCUAAAGAUUAUAGAGGAAAUUAUUUUUUUUUCAUAAGAUACAGCUUGUAAGAAGUAGGCCUGUGGCUACCUUAACCAAGUAUUGAUUUGCUUAACCGCCAGGGCCAGAAAUCAGAAAAGGGACUUUAAAUAGAGUUUGUAGGUUAACAAUGGCCACUUCAGAGCCAAGAGAUUUAAGAAAGAACAAGUUUGGACAAAAGAGAGGUUUGAAAUACCUCCCCCCAAAGUAAAAGCAAUAUCACAAAGUAAUGGCCAUGCAGGAUACCUGCUAAGCUUACGGUUUUGCUUGGUGCUUUCAUAGGACAACCACUGAAAAUACAGUCGGUGGACAAAUGAGCACGCCAGAUGAACUCUGAGCGCUGCGAGGCAAAAUGCACCCCACGCUACUUAUGCACAUGUCAAUCUAGAUCAUUGAAAUCUAUCAACUCGGGGCAAGUUAAGGAAACACAGCCUUGUUGUAGAAAGCCAUUAACAUCCUCCUCUGGGAAAAGCCCUCAGGCCUGUCACAGGAAUGCACAGGAGGUGCCCCAUUGCACCUACACACUAGCUGGUGACUUCGGCUCAGCUGAGCAUUUGUCAGGAUUCUGACCCGUUCCCAAGAAAGAAAAUCACUGACUUUGGGAAAGCACCUACAAGGAGGAAUGGUUUACUCUUAAGUGACAUACAUAGUUUUGUCUUUGGUGUUUGUUUCUUAUAUUGUUUCUUAAUUUUUAAUGCUGGUCAGCGUCCAAAAUUAAGAUGCAAUCAAUGGUUGCUCCAACCUGAGAUGUUUGUAUGGAAAAGCACAAACUGGCUUACAGUUCAUGCAAAUCAAUCUAAAUCUGCAUACUCUUUUUUUUAUAUCAGGUAACAUAUACAGAACUUCAGAGAACACUAACUACAUCUCAGUUACCAUUUUGUCUUCUCAAGCUGUGAGGUAUUUUUUCUAUCAGCAAUUAACAGAGUGAAACUUGGGCUUCAAUUGUGUCUCAAAUCUCUGUCGGUAACAACUUUUUGUCAGGCAGAUUGCACCCCAAAUCUCCUUAUUUCCAGGCUUCAGAGAUUCCUCCUCGCGGAGUGCUACCUGCUGUGCUCACGAUGAGCUGUAAUGAGCACCAUGCUUCUCAAACUACCCUCUCUGGAACUGUGAAGUCAGGUACAUUUUCCCGAAGUUUUAGGAGAAAACUUUGCCCAUGUAAUAGGACAUACAAAACAUAAAAUGUAGAUGGCUUCUUGAGAGGAAGUAUGAAGCUCCAAGACAUUUCAACUCCCACCAAAUCUCCAGAUUUUUAGUGGUACAAGCUAGCAAUCCUUUAGUAUUUCUGAAGUCUCCAUAGGAAGUCCAAGAAGCCCUGACCAAGAAUAAGAAUCUAGGAGCAGAUGGUCACCGGCAUUUGGGGGGAACAGAGCAUAAGGUAAAGGGUAGUCCUGGGGGAACUACCUCCCACAGACAGAUGUUAUUUAUGUUAUCAUCUUCCUUGGUAUUAGACAGAUUUCAACAAUUUAGUUCAGAAUCUGCCCCUAGGUCCUGUAAUGCCAGAGAGGAGUCUCAGUUUCUGCUCUCAAAGAGCUCAGUUUAGGAACUAAUAAAUCAAGGCAGGAAGGCAUGUGACAAGUCCAAAAAGGGUCCAUUUUUUUCUGGGGAAAACAAACAGUACAGGACAUAGUGGUAUUCGAUCUGGGCUUUUAGCGAUCAAAGAAUUCACCAGGUUCAGCUGUGUGGCAGGCAGAGAUGGAACGUGAUUCUCAUGGCUCUUACUACUGUCAGCAAUGUGCACUCACUGAGACAAAUUCAGUGCUCGGCCACCGACAGGAAUCCUCACGGAAACGAAAUCAACUGUCCACACCAUCGCAACAAGUGGGUCGCCUUUCCACCUCUGCUUCUGGAGUAGGGGAUUCUUCAAAUCUGUUUCUUUCCCUGGAGAAAUGUGAAAGCUCACCAAUAGGGCCAAGGCCCUGCUUCAUCCCUGAUUUGCAAAGAAAAACAGUUGCUGCUUAAGGAAAUUGUAAGGGCUCUGAAAAAAAUUUUUCUUCCCCAUAACAAACAUUAGGAAUGACAAAACUUGGUUCAGCUUAGAGAAAUUUUUUCUGGUCUCUGCAAUUAGUGUUUCCCUUAAAAACAAUUUCUUCCAAGACUGUUAGCAAGCACAAUUGGGCCAUGUCCCUGUGCCUUGUAUUCUUAAAAGUUCCAUGUGCUAUUAAGGGGCUCUUUGAAAGAGCAAUGGGCAAGGGAAAAGGCUUCCCAGCGGGCAGUGGCCAAAGUUAGUCCACCAAGAAGGGAAAACCAAGAUUAUAAAAUUUGUUCUUUGCAGGAGGAGUAGGGAAGCUAUCUUCCCCAUGUUUUACAAAACUUCCAUGUCACUUCUAAGUUCUAGAGCUAACAUUUUGGUAUUACCCUGAGCUUGAAUUUUCUGGCUUACCCCACCCUUAAAAAGAUAACAGAUAAGCAGCAAAACUUUAAUUCAUGAAGAUUAUAACAGAAGUACUACAUUUUAUACUCUUUCCCAAACAUUUCCAAUUUUAUAAUUAUAUCCCUCUCAUUACACAAAAGAGAAGUUUAAUAACCAUGUGUUCUUGGGCAAAUAAUAGAACCACAGUACCUCACUUUCAACAUUGGUAAUAACUGGGGUAAGAAUACCUAGUGCCAGGUUGUUUGAGGGCUAAAGGCAUAAAAGCAUAUAAAUUAUUUAGAAUACUAUUGCCUGAGACAUGGAAAGGGCUAAGUAAAUGGGAGCUAGUGUUAGGUGAAGGAGAAACAUUGACAUAGUAAUGUAUGUGAUGGGGUAAGAUGUUUCUUUUUACUGAUAACUCGGGUGCUUUAGCAAAUUGGAAAGCCUUUCUUUCAUUAUAGAAGUGCAAUCAGACAUUUGUCUUAAGUCAUAAAGAAUCCCCUUUUCCACUAUGUUUGAUUAGAUGACAGAGACCUAACAAGACUUUAAAGAUAAACUGUCCAAGUUGAAGAAAAGAUGGAUUCUGGAUCUAUUGGGGUAGCUGGGAUUUCCAUUUCUACCCAUAUUUGGCAUCCCUGAGGCCAAGCAUCUUGGAAAGGAGAAAGCCUCAUGGCUCCAUGGGGAGGCUACGUACCGAGCCCAUAAUUACUGAGAACAGCAGUGAAGUAAGUUCACUGUAGCCAGGCCAGCCCAGGCCGAAUGAAGCCUGAACUUGACAUUGCUGGGCCUAAACAGAGGCAUCUUUAGAGCAAACCAAUGGACUAAAGAACAAACCUACCCACAUUCCCCUGACCCUUUUCUCGGAGUUAAGACUUGGGGUCCUGGUACAGUCUAUAACCAGGGAAGGAAGCUCCAGUAAUUCCGGUAACAAGAUUUCUUGCUGCCUUUUACAAGUGAGGGCUCCGAAUGACACUUUCACACUCCAACUAGUAUGUUGUCUAUUACAUAGAGAACUAAAUAUUAUUCCAUUUUUGUUGUCUUUGAAAGAGUUUCAUACAAAAAACUGCUUUGUCAGAUCAUAUGUCAUCAAAAGUACACUUUAUUAUAAUGGCCUAGUAUCACUUAGAAGUAUGUAACACUGUGAUACAGCAGAUGCCUCAAGAAGGCUUUUGUGCAUUUAUGUUUGGUUCCAGGCAUAUAGUGACACUAUUUCUUCCCUGAGUGGAAAUGCGCAAUUUGAAAGGACCCUCCACUUGACCGAACCCAUCUAUCCCAUAUUUAGCCACCAAAACAAUCUUGUCCUCCCCAUUAAGAGAGCCAAAUGCUGUAUCAUGCGGCCCUUGUUCUCAAGUGUCUUUAGGUUGUGUUCAUUCAUUUUUUUACAUAAAAAUCCUCCUAGAAUGGGACCGGUGGACAAGAGCAGACUUGUUAAUGAAUUAAAGCACACCUAUGGGAUAGAUCAUUAAAAUCAAUGUUGUAGAAGAGUGUGAGCUCAGAAAAAUUUAAAAAGUCUGUAACACAGAACUGUACUAAGUAAUCCUAUUUCUAGAAAAAAAAAAUGUGCGCAUGGGCAAACACUGUGAGAAAAUCUACUAAAAUUAUACCAGCAAGUUGACUCUGGAUGGUUGGAUUACAGAUGAUUCUGAUCUUUCUCUAUUUGCUUAUCUGUAUUUUCUGGAUUUGCCAAAAUAAAGAUGUAUUACCUCUACAGUUGAACACCCCCCCCCCCCAAAAUAGAUAAUUCUGCCGGGAGACAGAACUAAAGCAACUUUAAGUAGACGACAAACUUGAGUAAUCAAUAGAUGAAGACAUCAGAUGGCACUUUUAAAUGGAGUUAGUAUAUUUAAAAUUGCCACUUCAGAGCCUGGGUACUUGGGAAAGGACAAAUCAGGGUAAAAGAAAAAGGCUUUCGAAACCCAGGAGGGUCGGAGUUCCCUGAAAGCUCAAGAAAAAAUGAGAAGACUGUAGUCUGUUAACAAUGUAACUGUCCCUGGCUCCCUCACAUGUCAAAUGCUGGGCCCCUUGCCAGGCAGGAAGUGACCCACACUACUUAACUGGUAUAAUAUAUACAAGAAAGUAAUACAUUUAUGUAAAAGAGGAGAAACCAAGAACCAUGAGCUGGUGGGCGGACUACAUCAGGCCCAACCCAGGGCUGCAAAUGGGAACUAGCUGCAGGAGGAGCUCAGCUGCAAGAAUCUGUGUGGGACUGAGCACUGGACAGAUGAACCUCUGCCCACUCCCAAGGAAGGAAAGCAGUGUCCCUGGGGAUGUGCACACUAGCAGGAAUAAAUCUGAGAGCUAAUUGACAAUGAGUGACAUAUUUUGAUUUUGGUUAUUUCACUUCUUAACCUUUAAAAGUAGUCAGUGUUGGGGAGCUUGGGUGGCUCAGUCAGGUGUCUGCCUUCGGCUCAGGUCAUAAUCCCAGGGUCCUGGGAUCGAGCCCCACGUUGGACUCCUUGCUCGGCGGGGAGGAGUCUGCUUCUCCCUCUCCCUCUACCCCCCCACCCCACCCUCGGUGCUCCUGCUCUCU